AUUGAACGCUGGCGGCAGGCCUAAUACAUGCAAGUCGAACGGAAACAGGAAGCAGUUUGCUGCUUUGCUGACGAGUGGCGGACGGGUGUGAAAUGUCUGUGAAACAGCUAGAUGGAGGGGGAUAACUACUGGAAACGGUAGUAAAAACGGCAUAACGAUGCAAGAGCAAAGAGGGGGAGUUUCGGGCGUCUUGCCAUCGGCUGUGCCCAGAUGGGAUUAGCUAGUAGGUGGGGUAACGGCUCACCUAGGCGACGGUCCGUAGCGGGUCUGAGAGGAUGACCAGCCACACUGGAACUGAGACACGGUCCAGACUCCUACGGAAGGCAGCAGUGGGGAAUAUUGCACAAUGGGCGCAAGCCUGAUGCAGCCAUGCCGCGUGUAUGAAGAAGGCCUUCGGGUUGUAAAGUACUUUCAGCGGGGAGGAAGGGAGUAAAGUUAAUACCUUUGCUCAUUGACGUUACCCGCAGAAGAAGCACCGGCUAACUCCGUG
RNAcentral lists this ribosomal RNA (490 nucleotides) under uncultured bacterium. Its description in RNAcentral is "partial 16S ribosomal RNA". It matches the Rfam family "Bacterial small subunit ribosomal RNA", at positions 30 to 507 of the family's 1533-position model. The record is from RNAcentral.